GAUAAACGCUGGCGGCGCACAUAAGACAUGCAAGUUGAACGGACUUAAUCGAAAUAUUUAUAUUUUGAAGCGGUUAGUGGCGGACUGGUGAGUAACGCGUAAGGAACCUGCCUAUUAGAGGGGAAUAACAGUGAGAAAUCAUUGCUAAUACCGCAUAUGCCAUAGAUAUCACAUGAUAACAGUGGGAAAGGAGCAAUCCGCUAAUAGAUGGCCUUGCGUCUGAUUAGAUAGUUGGUGGGGUAACGGCCUACCAAGUCGACGAUCAGUAGCCGGACUGAGAGGUUGAACGGCCACAUUGGGACUGAGAUACGGCCCAGACUCCUACGGGAGGCAGCAGUCGGGUAUAUUGCGCAAUGGAGGAAACUCUGACGCAGUGACGCCGCGUAUAGGAAGAAGGUUUUCGGAUUGUAAACUAUUGUCGUUAGGGAAGAGAAAGGACAGUACCUAAGGAGGAAGCUCCGGCUAACUACGUG
Molecule: ribosomal RNA, 473 nt
Filed under: uncultured bacterium
Lineage: Bacteria
Description: partial 16S ribosomal RNA
Rfam family: Bacterial small subunit ribosomal RNA
Source: RNAcentral